RNAcentral lists this ribosomal RNA (269 nucleotides) under uncultured prokaryote. RNAcentral's name for it is "partial 16S ribosomal RNA". It matches the Rfam family "Bacterial small subunit ribosomal RNA", at positions 524 to 792 of the family's 1533-position model. The record is from RNAcentral.
UACGUAGGUGGCGAGCGUUGUCCGGAUUUACUGGGCGUAAAGGGAGCGUAGGCGGACUUUUAAGUGAGAUGUGAAAUACCCGGGCUCAACUUGGGUGCUGCAUUUCAAACUGGAAGUCUAGAGUGCAGGAGAGGAGAAUGGAAUUCCUAGUGUAGCGGUGAAAUGCGUAGAGAUUAGGAAGAACACCAGUGGCGAAGGCGAUUCCCUGGACUGUAACUGACGCUGAGGCUCGAAAGCGUGGGGAGCAAACAGGAUUAGAUACCCCUGUA